AACGAACGCUGGCGGCAUGCCUAACACAUGCAAGUCGAACGAGAUCUUCGGGUCUAGUGGCGCACGGGUGCGUAACGCGUGGGGAUCUGCCCUUUGGUUCGGAAUAACAGUUGGAAACGACUGCUAAUACCGGAUGAUGACGAAAGUCCAAAGAUUUAUCGCCAGAGGAUGAGCCCGCGUAGGAUUAGCUAGUUGGUGUGGUAAAGGCGCACCAAGGCGACGAUCCUUAGCUGGUCUGAGAGGAUGAUCAGCCACACUGGGACUGAGACACGGCCCAGACUCCUGCGGGAGGCAGCAGUGGGGAAUAUUGGACAAUGGGCGAAAGCCUGAUCCAGCAAUGCCGCGUGAGUGAUGAAGGCCUUAGGGUUGUAAAGCUCUUUUACCCGGGAUGAUAAUGACAGUACCGGGAGAAUAAGCUCCGGCUAACUCCGUGCCAGCCGCCGCGGUAA
Molecule: ribosomal RNA, 449 nt
Filed under: uncultured bacterium
Lineage: Bacteria
Description: partial 16S ribosomal RNA
Rfam family: Bacterial small subunit ribosomal RNA
Source: RNAcentral